GUUCCCUCAAACACUUCAUU
RNAcentral lists this microRNA (20 nucleotides) under Prunus persica (peach). RNAcentral's name for it is "ppe-miR395b-5p". Its record names the gene ppe-miR395a-5p. Lineage: Eukaryota; Viridiplantae; Streptophyta; Magnoliopsida; Rosales; Rosaceae. The record is from miRBase by way of RNAcentral.